Molecule: ribosomal RNA, 472 nt
Filed under: uncultured Caldilineaceae bacterium
Lineage: Bacteria; Bacillati; Chloroflexota; Caldilineae; Caldilineales; Caldilineaceae
Description: bacterial SSU rRNA
Rfam family: Bacterial small subunit ribosomal RNA
Source: RNAcentral
AAACUUAAAUGAAUUGACGGGGACCCGCACAAGCAGCGGAGCGUGUGGUUUAAUUCGAUGCUACACGAAGAACCUUACCUGGGCUUGACAUGUACGUCGUAGGGAACCGAAAGGUAACCGAUCCUUCGGGAAGCGUACACAGGUGCUGCAUGGCUGUCGUCAGCUCGUGCCGUGAGGUGUUCGGUUAAGUCCGACAACGAGCGCAACCCUUGUUGCCAGUUAUACUUUACUGGCGAGACUGCUGGCAUAUAACCAGAGGAAGGUGGGGAUGACGUCAAGUCAGUAUGGCCUUUAUGUCCAGGGCUACACACACGCUACAAUGGCCGGUACAGAGGGUAGCCAAGCCGCGAGGCGGAGCCAAUCCCAGAAAGCCGGUCUCAGUCCGGAUUGAAGUCUGCAACUCGACUUCAUGAAGGCGGAAUCGCUAGUAACCGCGAAUCAGCAGGUCGCGGUGAAUACGUUCCCGGGCCUU